AUUUUUUGAAUGGUUUUCCAACAACCUGAACAGGAUCAAGGAAUUAGUCUACAUGGGGCACACAGGACAACAGCUGGGAACUGUUCCCUGUCUGGUGAAUUUCAGCAACAUCAGGAUAUAUUUGGAGCAAACUCUAGUAACCUCUUGAGAUUAAACAACAUUCGGGCUUAAUAUUUCUGUUUUUCCAUGCAAGUGGUGUUUGCUUUCUAGAGGCCAAGAUGCUGCCUCCCAGUGGGUGACACCAUCCCUUUGAUUAGUUCCCUCAUGUUCCAUUCACUCAUCCCCACUCGUGCCCUGUCCCACCUCCAGCCCAUCACCGAUCAGCCCCCUUGCAGUGCUUUGAGCUGCUGAGCACUGGUGCCCUAUGGUUUUCAGGGAUGAUUCCCAGGCUAACCCUAUGGCCUAUAGUUUAAAAGGACAUCUAUGUUCACUGCCACUCAGAAAAAGGGAAUUGUUUCUCAGGCUUUUGAGGCAUGAAACUAAUAUCAUAGACCCUUGUGAUUCAGGAAGAAACAAAAAGUUUGGGGCAUGAAGGGUGGGAUGGGUACCUUCCGAUAAAGGGAAUUUCCUGGUCAAAGGGAGCUGGGUCUUGUGGAAGACUGCCUUGAACGGGGAAGUUCCUCCUGGACAUUUCAAAUUCACUUGGCCUCCAAAGAAUAGAGUUACAAGUAUCUUCCACAUGUGAAUGUCCUUGCAAGAGUGACUCUGGGCAGACAGACCACAAACUGAGACCGUCAAGCUCCCCAGGAGCCCCGUGGAUGGCAACAUUUCUCUAGAGAGUGUUUCCUGUUUCUGGAAUUCCUCAUUAAGGAACUUUAAAGAAGAAAAGAAAAACUUGAAUUGUGUUUAAUUACUGUAUCUUUUACUUUUUUUUUUUUUUUAAGAUAAACUUGUAAAUAGAGUGAUUGGAAAUAUUGUAUGGCAAAGUUUUAUAUUUGAUAAUGUUUAAGCUAGUUGCUUCAUGCAUUUAGGCUUUGAUUGCUGAAGAGGUAUGUUUAAGAGGGAGAGAGAGGAGGCAGAGUUGCAGAGCAUCAAGGUCAUUGUCCCCUCUCUGGCCUGGAGGAAAGAGAAGAUGUUCGUAUGUGUUGCUCUGUGUUGGUUCCUGUUGGUGGGUGUGACACAUCAAUGGUGUUCAGUCUUUAUCCACAUGUGUGUAUAAGCAUUCCUUGGGCUUUGGAUUUGGAGAUGGAAAGAAGGUCUUCAGGCAACGAGUUUUUCAGGAAUGCCUACUUAGUAGUAAGAGGAAGCUCAGGAUUUAAAUGGGUGGGACCAGGGAUUAGAUUUUUUUAGUUUUCCUUCUCAGGAGUAUUUCUUGGUACCCCAAGAUAUCAGGACAAAAGGAGAUGGGACAAUCACUCUGCUCCUUACUUCCUUCUUUUCUCCACAUCUUCUGAGUCUUGAUAAAUGAGGCCAGGCUACCUUGCAAAUGUUGCAUGUCUAUAAGUUCUACAAAAAACUGGCUUCUUUGGAUCUUUAGUCCGUGCUGUGCUGCUGCAGCUUCCCCUUUCUUUUAGCAUGUUUAUGCUCUUUCACCUCUGGAUUCCCCAUAACCCCAAAUAAGGAAAAAAACUCCAAGAGAUAUAUUUAGAUAUAAUCUACAUACAGAUUUAAAGAUGGCUUUAAAGUUAAUAGCGGUUCAUCGUGAUUCUCUAUUCAGUUUAUCAGUUCAAGGAUCAUACAGCUGUUAUCCAGGAACUCACCCAGGAGCAAGUGAGACACUACCUUUGAAUUAGGGAACAAGAAUUAAGAGUGGACAAGACCAAAAUAGGACUCAAAACAGUUAUCAUUGGAACCCCAAGAAAAAAAGGGAAUAUACUAACAGGCUAGACCUGCUCCCUGUGGAUCUGGGAACAAGUUGGGAAAUGGCCUGAGGGGCAGGGUGCACUCACGUACCAUUGUGUUUUCACAUAGACCCCAACAUGAUGCUUUUAACAAGUUUGACAUUUUCAGUUGUCACGUACCCCAUCGUAACCUUAACUGGAGCUAAUAUAGGGGAACAGAAGUCUAAGGUCCUUACUUUGGGAGAUUCCUUUCUGAAGCAUACUGUAGACACUUGGCCCCAGCUCGAUGACUUGGAAGCAUGUCCCUCCCUCCUGAGUUGGCCCUGAUCUGAAGCCAGAGGGAAAUAGAGCUGCUACCAAGGGUAUCUUGUAGGUAGAACCCUUCCCAGCUUCCCUGUGGCCGUGCUGGGCUUAUGACAGGUGGCUCUGUUUCCCUUUACCCAGCUAGGUGCCCUUCCUCCCCGUUAGAUACAGAACUGGAGAAACUUCAGAAUAUAAGCCAACAAGAAGGAAGGAACUUGAAGACUAAAAGUAGGUUUUACUCUCUCCUCUAUUGAUGUCCCCCACUCCCCGCAACUCUCUCUGCUUGAAUAGGGAACUUUAGGACGGAGGAAUGCAUGGGAUAUCAGAGUGGAAGACCAUUGACCAGGUCCCUCAGCUUUUCUGGGAGCCUCAAGGUUCCUUUGUAAGGACGUGGGAUCAAUUAGCCAUUGCCUGAAUCUUCUGGGGGUAUUAAGAUCAGUCUCUCCUCCUGCAUAUUACUCACAGAAUUCCAUGGCUAAAGAAUGCUGUGGCAUAAGAAGAUAGGUCCAAAUCCCUGCCCCAAGGCAAGUAAAAUCCUGACUUGCUCAAGACUGAUGAUGUUCUCUCCUGUUUUUCAAAAUAAAUAUAUAGGGAUGGAUCCUGUUUAGUGAAGCCUUCCUUGGUAUCUUAGAAUUGGAGCUAGUUUUUAGCUUGGUGUUUUUAGUAUUUCUACAGCCAAUAUGUGUUUUCUUAUUUCAGACCAAACUUUUAAAAUUCGGGGCAGAGAGGCAAAUAGAGAAAAUAAGCAGUCAAGUAUCAGCAGGCUGGCAUAGCAGGACAGAGGCAUGCUAGUGACAAGGUCGUUUCAGAUACUUGGCCAGGACUCCAGAGUUGUGUGUGCCAUGCCUGUAGCUCAAAGGGAAUUCCUUCUGUCAACUGAGUGUGUGUCUCCUGAAAAUGACAACCCCAGUCACCCUGAAAGCUCCGUCUUGGCUACAGAGGCUCCAAAAGCAUGCAUGAUUCAGGGGCAGGAAGACAGAAGAGGCUAAAAAUAACCUGAUUACCUAUUCAUAAUUUCCUAUUGGCACUUUUUAUCCUCUGGCUUCUGCUUCCAAAAGCAAGUCUGGACCACCUAGUUUGAUAGAUGUGGGACUCCCAGGUAACAGUGGCCACCGUGGCACCCAUCAUCUCCCCCAAUAGUAAAUGUUCUAUGAGCAACCAUAUCACCCAAGUAGGUAGCCAGCGCUGAAGAAACCAGACAGCCUCUUAGCUACCUGACUUUAAGAGGAAUGUCCUAGGUGUUCUGUCUAGGAAGUUAUCUAUCAUCUCCGGCAAACUUGACAAUAAUCAGUUACCUCAACAACCCUGCUCCCAUAUCCUUUCAGAGUCAGCUGGGUGUCCUCUCACACACCCUGUGCUGGUGUUUAAAAAUUUUAUCUCAUCAUGCUCUGAUGUGUUUGGCAGCCACGCUGAUCUGCUGGGUGCUGAACCACCUCUUUGUAAUUGUAGCAUCAACAUGACAACAGCAGCAGUGCAGUGAACCUUGCACGAUCCUACAGCAUGCCUGAGACAAGACUCCAACAAAUAAUAAUUAGCUUUCUUCCUCUUGCCACCUACAGUACUUGUCUAACUGAAGAGCUUCCCAAAGCAGAGGGAGAAGCCACAGAGAAUCCAAAUGUCAUUCAGAGCCAGCCCUUGCUGAAAUGUGGGCUUCUAAUGGAAGCCCCUCUAGUCUUGGGAGAAAAAGUAUUGGAUGUAAAGUAAUGCCAGCACCAGAGAGAAAGAGAAGGUUGUACCACACUGAGAAAUUUUAGAUUUUUUUAAAAAUAGGGGUGAAUAUAGUAUUGUUCUUAAUGGGAAGAAAACAUUAUCACAGAAAUAUUUCACAACUAAUAUUUUUACAACAGUUUUACAGGACAUUACAAAAUGAAAAUGUCCUUAAAGGUGGAAUGCUUUAGAGAGCAAAGACUUAGCACAGUCCUAGACUCAUGUAAGAGGAGCAAUUGCUAUUAUGUCAAAAUUCACUUUAGUGUAGUCAUUGAGAACCAGAGUAUUGAUAACCAAAAUGUCAGAGUUAUCUGGAGCAGUCCUGAGGGGUUGAGACAUUACACACAUUCUACAUCAACCAUUUCUACAAAGUUGUCCAAAUGGACACCUACAAGCAGUUUUCUUGGGUAUUCAGAUGCCAGGAUCAACCUUGUAUCUGUGAAGACACAUUGGAUGAUUCUAAAGUAUAUAUUUAUUAGUGUGUGUGUGUGUGUGUGUGUGUGUGUACAGCACAUAUUUACAUAUGUAAAGAUACAGACUCAUCUAGAGACCCACAUGAGCUGACAGCUGUUGAGCCUUUACAACCUUUAAGAUUUGGAGGUUGAGAAUCAGAGAACGAGAGGCUGUUGAUUGCCUAUCAAAAAGAUCAAAGAUGUAAAUUAAGUGCCAUUUUAAAACUGUGUUCAUAUUUAUCAAAUGGUUACUGUCUGUAGCUAUGUUCCUUAUUAACUUAUUAGAACUCAUGUUGAAGAAGAUCAAACCCAUAAAUGCUUAGUAGCUAAUGCUAGGCUAAAGUUCAAAAGCACUCAAAAAGACCUUUUGUCCAUAUUUUGGAAAAAAAAUACUUGCAUGUUUAAUUCAUAAUUUAGGCUACCUUUGAGUAGACUGUAAAGUGCUGCGUGAUAUAAUGUCAGUGAAGUACUUAUAUAAUGGCACUUUAAUGUUUUCUUUUAAAAAACAAAUAAUGCACUGUUUUAAACUUCAGUAUUGAAUAUUGACUGGUGCAUAGAAUCCAAUUUCGUAAUUAAAAAGUAAUUUGUGGCUAGAAUAGAAUUUUUUCCCUAUUAUUAGAAAAACAGUUUUGUCAUGUUCAAGCUUUUUUAAAAAAUGUGCUUCUGCGUCAUUAAACAUAUCUCUAAAAAAAUACAAUUUCUGUUGAGUGGCAUCUGAAACUUGGCUUUCUUACGCUUGGUUGGUUUAUGGGACAACCUCUAUGAAACGAGUGGAAGUAUGAUUUUUGAAAUAAAUGACUUCCAUUUGGCGGUAUGUUUGUUUCUUGAGUUUCUGAUAAAGUUUUGACUUGAUACAUAGUAUUUCUUCAAAUAAGCAUAUAUAGACCAUAAUAAAAGGUCAGGAGUCUAGGCUCCUGCAGUUAUUGGUGAUAACCACAA
Long non-coding RNA from Galeopterus variegatus (Sunda flying lemur), 5182 nucleotides. RefSeq lists it as uncharacterized. The transcript has 2 exons. The record is from RefSeq and is a predicted model, not a curated record. Lineage: Eukaryota; Metazoa; Chordata; Mammalia; Dermoptera; Cynocephalidae.